UGGGGAAUAUUGGACAAUGGGGGAAACCCUGAUCCAGCGACGCCGCGUGUGUGAAGAAGGCCUGCGGGUUGUAAAGCACUUUUAGUGGGGACAAAAAGCCAGGGGCUAACACCAUCUGGUCUUGAUUUAACCCACAGAAAAAGCACCGGCUAACUCUGUGCCAGCAGCCGCGGUAAUCCAGAGGGUGCAAGCGUUAAUCGGAAUUACUGGGAGUAAAGCGCGCGUAGACGGUUUUGUAAGUCAGAUGUGAAAUCCCCGGGCUCAACCUGGGAACUGCAUUUGAUACUGCUUGGCUAGAGUACGGUAGAGGGAAGUGGAAUUUCCGGUGUAGCGGUGAAAUGCGUAGAUAUCGGAAGGAACACCAGUGGCGAAAGCGACUUCCUGGACCAGUACUGACGUUCAUGUGCGAAAGCGUGGGGAGCAAACA
Molecule: ribosomal RNA, 427 nt
Filed under: uncultured bacterium
Lineage: Bacteria
Description: bacterial SSU rRNA
Rfam family: Bacterial small subunit ribosomal RNA
Source: RNAcentral